This 879-nucleotide long non-coding RNA is filed under the name Cyanistes caeruleus (blue tit). RNAcentral describes it as "lncRNA (ENSCCEG00000016370.1)". The record is from RNAcentral. Lineage: Eukaryota; Metazoa; Chordata; Aves; Passeriformes; Paridae.
GUUGGCUCUUCCAGGCUCUGUGCUCUUUGUCAGUGCUGCCCCAGUCAAAGUCAGCUAUUGAAACAGGUCUCUGUGCUGAAAUAUCUGGACUUUGGUAGCUUCUUUGUUGUCUUACCUGGUCCACAUGCAUGCUAAUCCUGAUUAUGUUUACAGUAAAGACAUUCUUCUUGUCUUGUGUGCAUCAAACUGUUUCCCUUACAUCUUCACAGGAAUGAAACAAUUGCCAUUAUCUGAUUCUCUCAUGGAAAUGAAGUUGAGAGAGUAGCAGUCAUAGCCACUGACAGGCCUAGCAAGAAAAUGUAAUGGAGUAUUAAUGUAAAGAGGGAAUAAAACUGCAUAUGUUACCACUCCUGAGGGAAGGUGUGUGUUAAGAAAACAGGUUUCAGAGGCUAGGUGUGUCACCCUGAAAGGUGAAAAUUAUUUGAACUAUGAGUUAGCCUGCAUGUAUUGGUGUCUUUUAUUUUGUGAUCUUCAGUUACCGUUUCAGAAAUACUGCUCAUCACUUUUGAGAGGAGUUUCCCAUGAGGUAAUGGCAUGAGUCAGCAUGGAGGCUGUACAGCACAGACACAACGAAACAGAUAUGCAUGCAAAAAUGAUAAAACUGUAGGGAUAUAUUUCUGUAUCUGCACAUCCCUGGAAGAAACUUCAAGGAAUAAGCUAAGAAAAUUUUUUAAUUGUUGGUACCUGCCAGACAGUGAGUGCACAAAGUCAAGUUUGGUCUGUUGACAACUUUUAGCAAUAUUAGUGGAGGAGACAUAUUUGUUCCUGGUUUGGUAGAAACUGGCCCGUAUAUGUGAAGAUGUUUUGUUGCAAGAAGAAUUCUUUUUCCCUUAUCAGAAAUACAUCAUUAAUCUAAUAAUAAAAGCAUAUAAAUAUGCA